UUGAUUAUGACGUACUUGUACUGAUUGAGAUUUUAACACGAAGUGAGUGGCGAACGGGUGAGUAACACGUGGGUAACCUGCCCAGAAGUAGGGGAUAACACCUGGAAACAGAUGCUAAUACCGUAUAACAGAGAAAACCGCAUGGUUUUCUUUUAAAAGAUGGCUCUGCUAUCACUUCUGGAUGGACCCGCGGCGUAUUAGCUAGUUGGUGAGGUAAAGGCUCACCAAGGCAGUGAUACGUAGCCGACCUGAGAGGGUAAUCGGCCACAUUGGGACUGAGACACGGCCCAGACUCCUACGGGAGGCAGCAGUAGGGAAUCUUCCACAAUGGACGCAAGUCUGAUGGAGCAACGCCGCGUGAGUGAAGAAGGGUUUCGGCUCGUAAAGCUCUGUUGUUAAAGAAGAACGUGGGUAAGAGUAACUGUUUACCCAGUGACGGUAUUUAACCAGAAAGCCACGGCUAACUACGUGCCAGCAGCCGCGGUAAUACGUAGGUGGCAAGCGUUAUCCGGAUUUAUUGGGCGUAAAGCGAGCGCAGGCGGUCUUUUAAGUCUAAUGUGAAAGCCUUCGGCUCAACCGAAGAAGUGCAUUGGAAACUGGGAGACUUGAGUGCAGAAGAGGACAGUGGAACUCCAUGUGUAGCGGUGAAAUGCGUAGAUAUAUGGAAGAACACCAGUGGCGAAGGCGGCUGUCUGGUCUGCAACUGACGCUGAGGCUCGAAAGCAUGGGUAGCGAACAGGAUUAGAUACCCUGGUAGUCCAUGCCGUAAACGAUGAUUACUAAGUGUUGGAGGGUUUCCGCCCUUCAGUGCUGCAGCUAACGCAUUAAGUAAUCCGCCUGGGGAGUACGACCGCAAGGUUGAAACUCAAAAGAAUUGACGGGGGCCCGCACAAGCGGUGG
This 900-nucleotide ribosomal RNA is filed under the name Pediococcus pentosaceus. Its description in RNAcentral is "bacterial SSU rRNA". It matches the Rfam family "Bacterial small subunit ribosomal RNA", at positions 62 to 935 of the family's 1533-position model. The record is from RNAcentral. Lineage: Bacteria; Bacillati; Bacillota; Bacilli; Lactobacillales; Lactobacillaceae.